GGCUCAGAAUGAACGCUGGCGGCGUGCUUACACAUGCAAGUCGAACGAGAAAUCUUAGCUUGCUAGAGAAAGUAAAGUGGCGCACGGGUGAGUAACGCGUGGGUAAUCUGCCUCCGAAUCGGGGAUAACAUUGCGAAAGCGAUGCUAAUACCGGAUAAAAUCUGGUUGGCUUCGGUGAACCGGAUCAAAGGUGGUCUCUUUAUAAAAGCUACCGUUUGGAGAUUGAGCUCGCGUACCAUUAGCUAGUUGGUGAGGUAAAGGCUCACCAAGGCGACGAUGGUUAGCUGGUCUGAGAGGAUGAUCAGCCACACCGGAACUGGAACACGGUCCGGACUCCUACGGGAGGCAGCAGUGAGGAAUUUUGCGCAAUGGGGGAAACCCUGACGCAGCAACGCCGCGUGAGUGAUGAAGGCUUUCGGGUCGUAAAGCUCUGUCAGGUGGGAAGAACCCACCAAGUGUUAAGACCACUUGGUGCUGACGGUACCACCGAAGGAAGCACCGGCUAACUCCGUGCCAGCAGCCGCGGUAAUACGGGGGGUGCGAGCGUUAUUCGGAAUCAUUGGGCGUAAAGGGCGCGCAGGCGGUUUUGUAAGUCAGAUGUGAAAUCCCGGGGCUUAACCCCGGAAGUGCAUAUGAAACUAUGAGACUUGAGUAUGGGAGAGGGAAGCGGAAUUCCUGGUGUAGCGGUGAAAUGCGUAGAUAUCAGGAGGAACACCGGUGGCGAAAGCGGCUUCCUGGACCAAUACUGACGCUGAGGCGCGAAGGCGUGGGGAGCGAACAGGAUUAGAUACCCUGGUAGUCCACGCAGUAAACGUUGAUCACUAGGUGUAGCGGGUAUUGACCCCUGCUGUGCCGGAGUUAA
This 862-nucleotide ribosomal RNA is filed under the name uncultured organism. Its description in RNAcentral is "bacterial SSU rRNA". It matches the Rfam family "Bacterial small subunit ribosomal RNA", at positions 21 to 855 of the family's 1533-position model. The record is from RNAcentral.